This is a long non-coding RNA of Erinaceus europaeus (western European hedgehog), 171 nucleotides long. RefSeq lists it as uncharacterized. The record is from RefSeq and is a predicted model, not a curated record. NCBI's taxonomy places the organism in Eukaryota, Metazoa, Chordata, Mammalia, Eulipotyphla, Erinaceidae. The transcript has 3 exons.
GUGAGAGCUCACACCCACGGGCCACAGAGCCUGCCUCCAGCCUGCUGACCUCCACCACUGUCACAGCUGCUGGCAGCCCCCAAUCACCAGGAGGACAAACACUGGCUGACCUCACUCCCAGGUGGGACUCAGCAAGGAGAUGGUGCACCCCAGAGGCUGUGGGACUCUGGA